This 318-nucleotide ribosomal RNA is filed under the name uncultured eukaryote. Its description in RNAcentral is "partial 18S ribosomal RNA". It matches the Rfam family "Eukaryotic small subunit ribosomal RNA", at positions 1470 to 1796 of the family's 1831-position model. The record is from RNAcentral.
CCCUUAGAUGUUCUGGGCUGCACGCGCGCUACACUGCUGCAAUUAACGGGUUUUCUGUGCCGAAAGGCUUGGGGAAUCCUUUGAAUAUGCGGCGUGAUGGGGAUAGAAUAUUGUAAUUAUUACUCUUCAACGAGGAAUUCCUAGUAAGCGCGGGUCAGCAGCCCGCGCUGAUUACGUCCCUGCCCUUUGUACACACCGCCCGUCGCACCUACCGAUUGAAUGGUCCGGUGAAAUCUCGGGACGGCGGCUUGGUCGCUUGCGUCCGACUGCUGAAACUUGAUUAAACCAUAUCAUUUAGAGGAAGGUGAAGUCGUAACA